RNAcentral lists this small RNA (892 nucleotides) under Pongo abelii (Sumatran orangutan). RNAcentral describes it as "processed transcript". The record is from RNAcentral. Lineage: Eukaryota; Metazoa; Chordata; Mammalia; Primates; Hominidae.
GGUUUACUAGAAAUUCCCAACUGUUCCAAAGUGGUUGUACCAGCAGGCGCGACUGCUAGUUGUGUAUGACCACGUCUGCCGGUCCAUGUUUUCAGCACCCAUUGCCUGAAGUGUUAGCAACCUCACUCCGGCACCAUGAACUUCCCAGCCCUGCCAUGGAAGCUACCUGCCAGGUCCUCCCCAUUCUCAGGUGGAGGCUUCUCUGUUGAGGGGCCUCGGAGACCCCUAGCCCUCAGUGGACCAUGCUGGCUGGGAGCUCCGCCCUGGGGCUCCUGCUCUGCUCAGGUCCACGCGGCCAGCCUUGCCCUUGCCCUUGCCAGAGGGGUCGAAGCGCUCCUUGUGGGAGCCCGUGAACUUGGUGGUGUCCGUGAGCCUUGACACGGUGGGCGACGAGAUGGCUUUCUGCAAGAGGAGCGGGAGGAAGGGGGCAGGCCCCGCCUUCCACCUCGCCCUGCUCACCGUCACCCCUGAGAUGAUGGGCGCCUUGCCCUCGAUGAGCCUGUGCACCUCGCGAACGGCCUCCUCGCUGCUCUUGUCUUUGAAUCGCUUCUUGGCGAGCUCCUCCAGCGCCUCCUGGAACUGCUCAAAGAUAUACCACAACUAACCCAAAGUGGGGUUUUUCAGUGUUUAAAACGAGAUCCAGUGGAUGAGGCUCAGCUCUGCAAAAGGCACCUGCAUUUCACCAGGGAAGCCUCUGGACGGCGCGAGAAAGGCUGCACCCAGCAGGCCAAGCAUUGUAAGGGCACUACCAGCUGCAGAAUCCACAGUGACCAAGAGUCAGGAGACAAAUGACCCAUAAAACCCCAGCAAGCCUUUCCAGAAGUCAAUGAGCAGAGGGCCUAGAAUAGCCAAAACGAUUUCAAGAAAUGAGAACAGAGUCCGAGGACUGACU